This 587-nucleotide ribosomal RNA is filed under the name Rhodotorula mucilaginosa. RNAcentral's name for it is "partial large subunit ribosomal RNA". It matches the Rfam family "Eukaryotic large subunit ribosomal RNA", at positions 52 to 655 of the family's 3401-position model. The record is from RNAcentral. Lineage: Eukaryota; Fungi; Basidiomycota; Microbotryomycetes; Sporidiobolales; Sporidiobolaceae.
GGAGGAAAAGAAACUAACAAGGAUUCCCCUAGUAGCGGCGAGCGAAGCGGGAAGAGCUCAAAUUUAUAAUCUGGCACCUUCGGUGUCCGAGUUGUAAUCUCUAGAAAUGUUUUCCGCGUUGGACCGCACACAAGUCUGUUGGAAUACAGCGGCAUAGUGGUGAGACCCCCGUAUAUGGUGCGGACGCCCAGCGCUUUGUGAUACAUUUUCGAAGAGUCGAGUUGUUUGGGAAUGCAGCUCAAAUUGGGUGGUAAAUUCCAUCUAAAGCUAAAUAUUGGCGAGAGACCGAUAGCGAACAAGUACCGUGAGGGAAAGAUGAAAAGCACUUUGGAAAGAGAGUUAACAGUACGUGAAAUUGUUGGAAGGGAAACGCUUGAAGUCAGACUUGCUUGCCGAGCAAUCGGUUUGCAGGCCAGCAUCAGUUUUCCGGGAUGGAUAAUGGUAGAGAGAAGGUAGCAGUUUCGGCUGUGUUAUAGCUCUCUGCUGGAUACAUCUUGGGGGACUGAGGAACGCAGUGUGCCUUUGGCGGGGGUUUCGACCUCUUCACACUUAGGAUGCUGGUGGAAUGGCUUUAAACGACCCGUCUU